RNAcentral lists this long non-coding RNA (14571 nucleotides) under Gossypium barbadense (sea-island cotton). RNAcentral describes it as "long non-coding RNA (GBAR_LNC019520)". Lineage: Eukaryota; Viridiplantae; Streptophyta; Magnoliopsida; Malvales; Malvaceae. The record is from RNAcentral.
AAAAUGAAAAAAAAACACAAAACCUAACAUUAUUACCCAGUCAAAUCAGACAGCCUGGGCACAUUAAAAUCUCUCUUUUUCAUGCUGAAUCAUCACAUCUGUUUGGCAGAAAAAAAUUUCCAAAACGUUCUUUCUUCAAUCCUGUUACCAUUUUCAAUUCUCUUUCUUUUUGAAAUUUUCUUCAAUCCAGGUUUCUUAACCAUUCCUCUUCCAUGGCUUCUUCGUUGUAGAUCGACUCAUCUCUAACCAGGUACCUCUUUUCCCCAUUUGCUAAUGUUUCUUUCGCUAUUUUGUGGGCUUGAAAGUUCUCUGAUUUUUGAAUAAACUGAAAAUCUAUUUCUUGAAAUAGCGAACUAUGACUCUUGAUAUCUUUGAUAACUACUCCAAUGAUCGAUUUAUCCAUCUCUGCCGAUUGACAUUUUUUAAUGACUGUCUUCGAAUCUCCCCUUAUUGUGACUGAUCGGGGGCCCAGUGAAAUACCCAGCUUGAUUGCUUGUAAACAAGCGAAUGCCUCUGCAAGAAAUGGGGAUGAGACAUUGGAAUGAAGGGUUGUUUUUAAGACUCUUUAUCUCUCCCCUCCAGUUUCGUACAAUGACCCCCGACGCUGAUCUGGACCUGUUUGCAUCAAAAGCUGCAUCAAAUUGUAUUGUGUCCUCCAUUUUCUCCUCCAUAUGUCUCUGUAUUCUGGCAGUCUUCAAGGUACGUCUUUCCUUACCCACUCCUUCAAGUUCUGCUAUAUAGCUCUCUACUUUCUGUGUAAGGUCCCUUCCUGAUGUGUUUUUUCUCAUGUACCAUUUGAUUUCGUGAGCUCCAUAUGAUCCAUAGCGCAACAAAACAUCUGACACUGUUCCUUAGUUUCUUUUGCAAAUACCCAUGUAAGCCAUGUUCUGGUAUUUUGAUCUGAAUAUGAUGUAACCCAAUCCAUGUUAAUAUUCUGCCAAACUUCAGUAAUUGUAGGGCAUUGCUGGAAUACAUGGAAGCUGUCCUCUUCCUCGGAGCCACAACGAGGGCAUCUCAUGUUUGUGGUUAUUCGCUUGUAUCGUAGGUUGGCUAGUGUAGGAAUAUAAUUCCAGGAUAUCCGCUAGACAAACAGUAGAGUUUUUGAUGGAAGUUGUAAAUCCCAUAACUUUCUAUAGAAUUCUUUAAAAUCUGUCUAUAAUAAGUUAUUAAAAAUCGAAUCAGCUUCUUGUAAUAGUUUAUAGUCACUCCGUACAGAGAACUCUCCGGUCGGUUCACCUUUCCAAACGCGUAAGUCUUCACUGUUCGUUUCUGCAAGUGGUAUCUCCAAAAAUUUUUGAGCUAUAUCUGAUACUAAUAAUGACCUCUGUUUUCCACUUCUUAUUUGUUUCAUCAAUUAAACCUGAUACUAUUUUUAGUUCCCUAUUUUCAUCUCCGUUCUGCCAUGUACUAGGUUCAAUCCUUGGAAUCCACCGAUUUGUCCAGAAGGAAACAUUGUUUCCUCUCCCAACUCUCCAACUUAGCCCCUGAAGGAGGAGUCUCUUUGUUGCCCAGAUGCUCUUCCAGGUAAGAGAAGGUAAAUUCCCUAACUCUGCACUUAAAAAAUCUGAUUGUGGAUAAUACUUUACUUUAAGGACUCUAGCUAAAAGUGAAUUUGGAUAAUUAAAAAGAUGCCACCCCUGUUUGGCUAAUAACACAAUAUUAAGCUGACUGAGAUUACGAAAACCCAAACCUCCCUUUUCUUUUAAACUGCAAAGAUUAUUCCAAGAGCACCAAUGAAUUCCCCCUUUACCAUGACCCUUUUCCCACCAAAAUUUUGCGAUAAUUGCUUCCAUUUCUUCGCAUAAAGUUUUUGGGAGUAAGAAGCAAGCCAUUGAAUAUGCCGGGAUGGCCUGUAAUACAGCUUUGAUGAAAACUUCUUUCCCGCCCUGCGAUAAAAAUCUAGUGCUGCAGUUGUCAAUACGCUGCCUUAGUCUAUCUUUCAAAGCCUGAAAAUAAGCCUUUUUUUUUAUCCUACCAUGGUCUGUAACACCCCUUACUCGAGACCGUUUCCGGAGUCGAGCUCAAGGAAUUACUUUAUUUAACUUAUUAGUUCGGGGCAUAAAAGUUUGCUUUUAAAAUUUAUCUCACUAUCUAUGAUAAAGCUGUCCACUCGCGCAGCAGUCACUAAAUCAUUUAUAACUCGAGCUACGAAACUCAAAAUUUAAAUCUAUAAAUUUUCCUUGAAACUAGACUCAUAUAUAUUCUUACCAUUAAUUUUUUAGAAUUUUUGGUUUAGCCAAUUAGUGUAGUUUAUUAGUUAAAGUCUCCCCUGUUUCACUACUCGAUUGUCCUAGCCUCUUGCCACUAAAAAUAAGUUUUCUCAUUUUGGGAAUUUCAUAUGGUGUUCUCACUUGUUUCUACAAAAAAUAGACUCAAUAAGGAAUCUAGACAUAAAAAUUACAACUCAUUUUUUACAAUUUUUAGUGAUUUUCUAAACUCUGAACAGGGGACUCCAAAAACGGUUCUGACCCUGUCUCACCAAAAUUCGUAUAUCUCAAAAUAUAAAAUUUCUUUUGCUAAAACGUUAUUUUUUCAUGAAAAUAGACUCAACAAAAUUUCAGUAUAUAUAUCAUACACCCUCUAAUUCAUUUUAUACUAUCCUAAGUGAUUUUUCAAAAUCACGUCAUUGCUACUGUUUGAAAUCUGUUUCUUUGCAAAUUAUUACUCUUUCAUGAUUUUUAUGCAUAAUUUAUCACAUAGACAUGUAUAACAACAAACACCUUCAUACUUAACUAUUUUGACAACAAUUCAUCUUUAGAUAUUUACACAUCAUUAUUUAGCAAAAUCGUAAUACAACAUUCAAAAUAAGUAAGUCCAUAUACAUGCCAUAGUUCAAACAUAGUUCAUCACAAAAUACCGAGUCGUUGUGGUUGAUAGUGUGGAUGAUCUCCGACGUCUUUAGGAUCCUCGACUUUGAUUAAUAAUGCUAUAUAAAAAGAAAAUAAACAAAGUAAGAAUAAUGCUUAGUAAAUUUACAAGUAAAUAAAUAGCAACAUUUAACACAAUUAAUAAUACUCAAGUGACAUAAUCUUUAAUUUCCUCUUUACUUACUUCCUUACUCGUUCUCUUGCUUGUUUACUUAGUUAACUCAUAAUUAUGACUUACUUUUCUCUUGCUGAAACGUUGAUUCUCAAUGGGUAACAUAAUAUACUCUUAGCUCUUAUAACUCACUUGAACUUGCCAUUUAUGUUUUUAACUAAACUUUCAUGAACAUAAGUUAUUUACUAGCCUGUUGAGCCACAUUGGAACAAUAAUGAUACUUGGGUCUCUUUCUGAUAAUAACAUGCCAAAACCAUGUCCCAGAUAUAGUCUUACAUGGGAUGUUUCAUGUGCUACCAAUGCCAUGUCCCAGACAUAGUCUUACAUGGGAUGUUUCAUGUGCUACCAAUGCCAUGUCCCAGACAUGAUCUUACGGGGGACCUCUCAUCUCGGUGCCAACGCAAUGUCCCAGACAUGGUCUUAUAUGGGACAUCUCAUCUCGGUGCCAACGUCAUGUCCCAGACAUGGUCUUACAUGAGACCUCUCAUGAUCUCAAGGAUGCCAAUGCCAUGUCCUAUACAUGGUCUUACAUGGGAUCUCUUUACCCAAAUGUCAUGACAUUUGCAUCCAAUACGUUCCUCAUGUUUCAACGGGGCCUUUUAACACUGAUUCUCUGUCAUCUCAUACUUGAGUUAACAUUAGAUAUUUUCAUGAAAUAAAUACAUAAUUGCUGAAAAAUAACAGUAUUAAUAAUAAUUUUUAAAAUAUUGCAUUAAUUUACCGUAAACUUACCUCGAUACCAAAUAUAGUCAAAUCUACCACUUAGUCUUCAAUCUUAUUCUUUCCUUGAUCUAACCUCAAAUUCUAUUCUUUUUGAUCUAUAAUAGCAAAUUUAACUUAUUUAAUACUUACAUUCAUUAAAACAUCCCUCGACUUCAACUUUGGAAAAAUUACAAUUUUUCCCCUAAACUUUUACAUAAUUACAUUUUUCCCCAAAGCUCAGAAAUUAAACUUCAUCUCUUAUUCUUAUGUUUUACAACAUGCUGAACAUUUUUCUCUUCUAUGACAACAUCAAAUUCUUACUCUAAAAUCUACUUAUGAACAUUAGGUAUUUUACCGAUUAUGGAGUUUUACUCGUUUUCGCUUAAAAUCGACUAGCAAAAGUUGUUUAACAUAAUUUUUAACUUCAUAUUAUAUCUUAAAACAUCAAAAUAAACACUUUUCACCUAUGAGUAUUUUUUCAAAUAUAAACCCUAGGUUAAAUUAUUACUAGAAUAAACUAAAUUAAGCUACCGGGAUCGCAAAAAUGUAAAGAACAUUAAAAACGGGGUUUGGAAUCACUUACUAUGAGCUUGAGAAAGUGUGAAAACCCUAGCUAUGGUGUCCAAAUUUUGGCAGCAAGCUUUUUUGGAGAAGAUGAUAUUUUUGCCAUCUUUUUCCCUUUUUAUUCUUUUUAUUAUUCAAUGACUAAAAUGCCCUUCAUUAAAACUUUAGUUAUUUUUAUCUAUGCAUGUCUAUUUUUUUCCAUGGAAAUUUUAUGGUCUAAUUGCUAUUUAAGGACCUCUUCUUUGAUUAUGCACUUCAAAUAAAUCCUUUAUCAUCUAAAACUCAUAUUUACCCACUUUUGCAGUUAAGUCCAAAUAGGCAAUUUAGGCAUGCAAUCAAUAAAAUUUCUUAUCAAUACUCUAGUACUUAUAUCUAAUUACUAGAUAAAUCAUAAAAAUUAAUAAUAAUUUUAUCUUUAAAUUGGAUUUGUGGUUACGAAACUACUAUUCUGAUAACCUUAAAUUUGGGCCAUUACAUGGUCGGCAAACCUAGAUAACAUUCUGGUUCAUUUGAGCUUCGGAUUCCUAGCAAGUUUACCACCUGACUUCUUUCUUCUGCCAUCGUAUUUUUGCUGGAAAAAUAGUUGAUUUGUCCAUAUUCACACACUGUCCUGAACCUCUUUUAUACUCACUUUUGAUUUCCUUGAUUGUAUUAUCCCCUCUACAUGUUGCCUCCCCAAAAAGAAUGCAAUCAUCUGCAAAUAAUAAAUGUGAUACCUGUGGUCCUCUUCUGCUUACUUUGACACCCUUCAAAAAACCUUCAUUUGUUGCUUUUCUCAUAAGACUGGAAAGGCCUUCCCCACAUAUUAAGAAAAGAAAUGGACUCAAAAGAUCACCUUGUCGAAGUCCCCUCGAUGGACUGAAUGUCACCCCGACAUUUCCAUUUACCACAACCUUGUAAGAAACAAUAGUCAUGCAUUUCAUAAUAGUAUCAAUCCAACUUCGAGCGAAACCCAUUCGACACAUUAUUUCUUUAAUAAAAUUCUAUUCAACUCUAUCAUAAGCUUUACUCAUGUCCAAUUUUACAGCCACAUAGCCCUUUUUCCCCACUCUUUUCUGUUUUAGGGAACGCAAUAUCUCGUAAGCAAGCAAAAUAUUAUCCGAGAUUAAUCUUCCUGGCACAAAGGCACUUUGUGCACUAUCAAUGCAUUUAUCAAUCACUCCUCUAAAUCUGUUCGCUAUAACUUUUGCCAUUAUUUUAUAAAUGACAUUGCAUAAACUAAAAGGCCUAAAAUGUGUCAUAUUAGCCGGGUUAUUAAUUCUUUGAAUGAGCACAAUAUGAGUUGUAUUAAUUGAACUAACCUCCAUAUCUUCAUUCAAGAGUUGUAGACAGAAGGAAACUACAUCAUCUCCAAUAAAAUGCCAAUACUUCUGAUAAAAUAAAGCUGGGAAUCCAUCUUCGCCUGGUGCCUUAGUGGGUGCCAUCUCGAACAAAGCCUCGCGGAUUUCUUCUCAUGUAUAUUGCACAGUCAGCUUUUUAUUUUCCUCUUUAUAGAUACAUCAACCAAUACCCGAGAGUAAAUAGUCGAGAUUCUCUUGAUUCUCUGAAGCAAAUAAAUUCUGGAAGUAGGACCUUGCUAUUUCUUCCAUUUCCUGGGGAUCUCCCGUAUCCCUUCCAUGUGCAUUUUGUAACCUCCUGAUCUUGUUUUUCCUCUGUCUUUGGGUUGUCUGGCUAUGGAAAAAAGCUGUAUUUUUGUCACCUAAUUUUAACCAAGUCAAUCGAGCCCUUUCCUCCUUAUAUCUUUCCUCCUUCUCAAACUCCAUAUUUAGUUGAAUCUUCGUAUCGAUCAUCUCCGCCAUGUUAAUGUCGUCCCUGUCAGCAUUGAGCAGCUCAGAUAGCUUUGUUGUUAAAAAUCUCUUUUCCAUUUUUCUUGUUUCGUAUUUUCCCAGCCCAAUUUUCAAGCCCUUUAUUUAGGAUUUUCAUUUUCUACAAAAAAUUACCUAGUGUCAUCUUCCACAGCUGCUAGCUUAAGCAACAAAUGAGUCCUCCAAAAACCACCAGUUUUCAAUUUUGAAUAUAUUCCCAUUUUGUCGUCUUGUUUCCUUUUUAGUAUCAAUUAAAAUGGGACAAUGAUCAGAAAAAGAAUGAACCAAAUGUUGAGCUUUAACGUCAGAAAAUAAUGAAAUCCAUUCCUUAUUUGCCACCCCCUAUCCAACCGUUAUCGUAUAUUUUUUUGGGAGAUUACCUCUUUCCCAUGUGAACCAUUUGCCCGAAUAACCCACAUCAUUCAAUUGACAAAACUCCAGCGCUUUUCGAAACAUUUCCAUCUGUCUUUCAUCACGGGGCAAGCCUCCCUUCUUCUCAAAACCAUACAUGACUUUAUUGAAAUCUCCACAUACUAACCAUGGUAUAUUAUCUCCAUUAGAGAGAUUUUUGAGAACAGCCCAUGAAUCUUCUUUAUCUUGUGCGUACAGGGUACCAUAGAAACCUGUAAAAAGCCACAUAACCUCCCUCUCAUUGUCAUGGACUAUCGCGUCAAUAUGCCUUUUAGAGAAAUUUUUUAAAGAAAUAUUAACGCCAUUCUUCCAUGCCAAACAUAGCCCUUCUCUAGUUCCCUCUACGUCCACCUCAAUGCCAUUCACAAAACCACAUCUCUGUCAAACUCUUUCCAUCUGUUUUCCGUAAAGUUUAGUCUCCAUAAAGAAGACUAUGUGGGGAUCACAAGUCUUCAGCAAGUGCCGAAGUCUUCUAACUGUCCGUGGACUCCCCAAUCCACGAAAAUUCCGACUUAUUAUUUUCAUAAUGCCCGGUCGGCUUGCCUCUUGGCAGCCGCCGAUGACAAAUGAUUAAGAUCCAUUAAUCUCCUAUUUCUUGCCGGGGAAUUUAACUCCUCAGUCUUUGAUAAGUCGUUACUCUCCCUUCUAGAUCUUUUUUUACCUUCUUCUCCUACUAAGGCUACAUCCUCCAAGUCAUGAUCCAUCGCAUGUUGACCAUGGUCUGUCAGUGAGCUAACCUGCUUUGCAUAAUCAAAUAGUAAGCCACCUUCCAGAUUAAUACUGAGAACUGGUUCAAUAGCCUUCCCAAAACUCUUCCUGUGCUCCAUUUUCUGUGGUCCAUUCAUAAAUCUCAUGUUUGCCUCCUGAAUCCCGUCUGAACUCCCCUCCCCUUCCUCUCGUAGCCAGACAAUAUUCAUAGUCAGAGCUCUUCGGGAUUGUGCUUUUAUUGAUAAAUCCCACCCCAUUUCAGCUAUUUUCACUCCAGUCAUCGUUUUUGCCUUACAAAACGAGUCAUUAUGGCCUAGUUUUCCAUAAUAGAAGCAGAAAAGAGUCAAUCUUUCAUAUUUAAAACAGAUAUAUGAUCGUCUCCCACAGAAUUCGAUCAACUUAGACCCUAACCCUCAUAAAGUUUCUAUUUUCUUUCCAUAAAUUUGACACAUCAUAUUCCAUAAAAUACCCCAAAAAAUUCCCUAGAUUCACUGCUAAAUUUUUAGAAAACAAACCAAUGGGCACUUUAUGUAUCUGAACCCAGAAAGGGGUUAGCACUAAAGGGACCUGCAACGAAUCCUCCCCCCACCACAGUCUAUAAAAUAUCAAUAGAUGAUUAUUGAAGGUCCAUGGGGAGCCUUUCAAAACCCUCUCCAUAUCCAUAGAAUGAAAAAAUUAGAACAAAAACCUUUUUCCCCCCAAAUCCCGAAUGCAAACUCCUCGAACAGGAUGCCAUAGUACUUUUCAUGGCUGGAAAGUGAAUUAUACUCGUUGUAAGAAAACACCCCACUAAUUGAAAAAACUAUUCACUUCUUUCCGUACCUAGAUUUUUUUGAAUUUUAAUAACAUCUUUCUCUUCGUUGAUCGAUAAUUGGGCUAAUUCAUUCUCUAUAAUUUUUAGGGACACAACGCCGUAAGCCAAAAAGAAAGACAGAAGAACAAAAAACCUAAAAUUUUGCCAAAGGCAGUAGACACAAACGUGCUAGGCGUUGCUGAAUUAAAAGAACUUACAUCAACAAGAAUAAUCACAAAUGGAAAUGAGCUUUUCGACAGAAUAUGAAACUAAUUAUUCAAGCUCAAUAAAAAAAUAUGUUUUUGUUCUUUUUUUUCUUUUCGAUUUAUUUUUUUUUUGAGAAAUAAGAAAUAAAAUUCAACAAUUUCAAAAAAAAAUGAAACAUAGUUAGGCAACUAACCAAAUCAAAUCUUGACAAAAAGGGGAGUCAAUAAAAACAACAAUUAAGGUGGUUAAAUGGGUUAAAUCUUAAGUGUCUCUAUAAUGUCAAUAUAUUAAAUCAAUAAUGUGGUCUAGAUAUGUAUAAUAUAAGCAAGUUCUAGAAUAACAAAUGAAGUUGACAUACUUUCAACCAAAAAUAAAAUGAUCACGAAUAAAUAUAUGCUCUAUAGGCUCAAAGGCUCACAAAAAAUUAAGGUUUUGAUGUCAAACUUGCAAUUUCAGAGUUUGAAGAUAAUAAUUCAAUUCAGGAAGGCAACCUAAAAUAUUUAUUUCUUAAAAAAUAACUUAUCAUGCUUGACUGUCUCGUGCCUUAAAGACACACAAAUUAAUCCAAAACAAUAUCAAUAAAAAUUUCAAAUAAAAAAAUUCACUCUAAUGGAUAACCUCCUCAGACUUAAGAUAUACAUUGUCCUUAAUGUGCAAAUAGAUGUAAGCACAGAAUAAGACAAUAUCAAAAGAGAGGGAGAACUGAAACUGCCUUGAAUAUGGAUGAAUUCGCCAUAAUAGUGAAAACUGGAAUCGUAAGCGAGUUUAAAUGAAAUGCAUGUUUCUGAGCAAACUAAUAAGAAAAUGAACAAAAAUAAAUAAGAAGGUAAAGAGAUUACAAACUCGAACAAAAAAACCAUCAAAAUAAUAAAAAUAACAACAUAGUUUAAAAUAGAAAUAAAAUAAAUUAGUAUCACAAAAAAUACAACAAUUAAAAAUAAAAGCACAAUUGAAAAUAAAACAAAUAAAGCAAAUAAAAUGAAAAAAUCAGUGAUCGUCGUCGUGAGAGGCGUCAGGAUCGCGCGGAACAUAAGCAGAAUGAGAGAUAUGGAGGUGUUGGUGAAUCGAUGCAAGGUCGCGUAAAUGUUUGUUGAACAGUGCUAACUGUUACUUGACGUACUCAUAAUGUAACCGCUCGAGGUGAUUUAGCCGAUGUGAAAUAUCGUCGAGUGUGACUGAAUGUGCAGGUGUGGUAGUAGAAGGGCUUGGAGAAGUGGGAAUGGGUCGCAGUGCUGGGGGGAGAUCAUUGUUAAGGUGCUCAUUAUCCUUGUGCUAUUAAGUCGCUCGUAGCAACACAUACUGAUCACCGAAAGGCCCAGACUAACGAGCGAUCAUCCUCAUGUGUUUCAUAAUAUUUAAACCUUGUGGUGUCAUGUCCCCAACCAAAGUAAGAGUACUAAUCUGUUCUCGAGUCUCGAUAAGACUGAAGAGACUAGUCAAGAGUGUGAUAUAUAGACCCAUACAAAGAGGUCCUCUCCGUGACCUCUCACCCUGAUUACAACAACACUGAGCUACGAAGUGGGAUAGAUCAAUCAGAUGUUGUCUGUGCAUGCUCUAUAAGAAAUGUGCAUCUAAAGUGCCCAUGACGCUUGUAACGACCCAUUUUCAGUGGUGUUAGAAAUAGUGAUUUUGGGACCACAAUUCUGACGAGUGAAUUAUUAUUUUAUCAUUUAUUUAAUGUUUAUUGGAUUAUAUUAAUGUCGUAUUAAAAUUUUGUUAAGAAAUUUUGAUGUUUAAAUGGUUAAUUAGGUGAAAAGGACUAAACCGUAAAAAGUGUAAAAGUUGAGAGUUCUAUUAGUUAAAGUGGUCCAAUGACUAUGAAAUCAAAAAACUAAAAGGAUUGAUUGGUAAAUAUACCAUUUAAAGUGUCAAUAGAUGUGCAUGGACAAGGUUUUAAUGAAAUUUUGAUAGUUUUUAAAGGUUAAAAUGACAAUUGAAUAAUUAACUUAAAAACAAAACAAAUUAAAAAUGGUAUCAUCUUCAUCCUUGGCUAUCUCCACCAAAAUUUGAAGAGAAAAACAUGAUUAGGAUAGGGUUGAGAAUUCGAUCAAGUUUCUACUUGUAUGUAAGUGAAUUCAAGCUCCGUUUUUAAUAAUUUUUGUGUUUUUAGUUCAUUUUAGUUUAAUCUAGCUAGCCCGGGGGUUAAUUUGCAAAGCUAUUAAUGGUUGAAAGACUUUUCAUGGAUAUUUUUGAAUAUGUUUUGACGUUUUUUGAUGGAUUAUUUAUCUUUAUUGUAAAAUAAACAUGUUUGUUAAGUGAUUUUUAUUGAAUUUUAGAAAUAUGGAUUAGAUUGUUAAAAGUAUAAAUCCAUGGGUUUUGUUGUGAAAUGUUGGUAAUAAUGGGUUGUUUCAAGGUCUCUUUGAACAUUGGUUAAGUUGGAUUUAGGUUAAAAUGAUUAGAGUUUAAGUUAUGAGCUUGAGGACUAAAUUGUGAAAAGUCAAAGUAUUAGGGUAAAUUUUGUAAUUCUUCAUAAAUAUUAAUUAUGGAUUAAAUUUAAUUCUAGAAGUACUUAAUUGAAUGAAAUUAUUUAUUUAGAUCAAGAUAAACCACAAUCAUACUUAAAUUGAAGAAAAGCUAAAGCUUCGGAUUAGUGUUCGAUUAUACUUUUACGCCCUAGUUAUCGAGGUAAGUUCGUAUGAACUAUGAUCGUUUUAAUGUUAGUUAAAUUGACUAUUUGAUGUGUUGUUUUAAUAUAAAUGAAUCUAUGUAUAAAUGUAUCUAAGUUAUGAUGAUUUGACAGAUAACGAGUCUUGUUUGAACCUUAAGAAUUCUUAGGAUACAAAUGACAUGUCAUUUGGGAUUUCAUGUUUCGGGUGUUGGUUUUGAAUGUCCUAUCGAUGACCGAGGUCCUGUAUUUGUUGCGAGUUUUUCAUAGCUCGUGUGGGCAGCAUCGUGUAGCUAACAUUCUGACCCAUAACUCAUGUGAGCAGACCUAUUUCAUAGCUCGUGUGAGCAUUAAUGUAAAGGAAAUGUUACGGUUAUAUGGAAAGGCACACUACGUGUGAGCAUUCCUGAGUAUCUGAUGUAAUUUUAGAUGGUUCAAUGGGUAAGAAAAGGAAAUGAAAUGGUAAGUAUGCAAAUGGAAUGAAUCAUGAUUUUAUAAUGACAUUGAUGAGUUAAAUGAUGUGUUUAUAUAUGGUAAACUACAUAUCUUAUGGUUGAUUUCAUUUGUAUCAUGAACAAGUAUACUAACUUGUUAGUUUGAUGAUGUUGUAUAGGCUUUUACUAAGCUUAUGGCAUUGGUAAUGAUUUAUGCUUAAUCUAUGAAUUGUAUAAAUGAAAUGGUAAGUUAUGCUAAGUUUUUACGAGCUUACUAAGCACUCGUUGCUUACAUAGUUACUUUCUUUUGUUUUAUAGAUUAUUUAAAGCUCGAUCGGUUGGAAGUUAAUCGAAGACCUAUCACACUAUCCAACAAUCAUUUCAAUAGUUUUUUUUUGUGUGUAUUUUGGCCAAGGUUAAUAAUGACAUGUAUAAGAUCUUUGUAAUGUAAGUUUUGGUAUGUUUAAGCUUUUGCAGUUAUGUUGGUUUGGUGCACUUUGAUAUCUUACCAAGUUAUGUCAUAUUGGUCACUUAAGUGCUUUUAAACAAAGUUCUUUUGGUAUGUUUUGAUGGCUUGAAAAUGGCCAUAUGUGGUAGUUAAUUGAACUAGGUUAUUAUGCUUGGGAAUAUACAAUAUUGACUUGUUUUGGUAAGUGAUGUUUUGAUAUAUUUGUGGUGCCUUUGAGUGGCAUAUUGGUUAGAUGAAUUAGGGUGUUUGAAAAGGCAUGUUUUUGUGUAUUUGAAUGAAGUUUAAAUUCCUUGAAUGUAUGCCCAAAUGGUUUGAAUGGUUAGGUAUGAAUUGGACUUGAAAUGGCUUGAUUUUAGGUUAAAUUUUGGGUUCACAUGGCCUGGGACACGGGCUGUCACAUGGCCGUGUGACACACACAGCCUGGCGACACGGUCGUGUGUCAUUUCAAAUUUUUUAGUGAUUCAAGUCAGUGAGUUACACGGCCUGACACACAGGCGUGUGUGGCAACUCAGAGAGUUAUACGACCAUGUGACCCUUCUCAGUGAGUUACACGGGUGAGGAAACAUGCUAGGACACCGUCGUGUGUCCUUUGUUCGAAUGUGUCACGGCUUGGCCACACGACUGUGUGACCCCCGUUUUCAUAUUUUUGCAUCUUUUUCUUAAAAUUUCUAUUUUGUUUCGAUUCAGUCCUGAAUUGUUUCUAAGCUAUUUUUAGGGCCUCGAAGGCUCGAUUUAGGGAUAAAAUGCAUAUGAAUGAUUGGUUUACAAUAAAUUUAAUUUAUUUUAUAUUAUAGUGUUAAAUGAUUUUCGGUUGAAAGGUAAUGCUCUGUAACCCUAAUCUAGCGACGGAGACGAGUUGGGGUGUUUCAAUGCUUGUACUAUUCUUUCGUCUAGUUAAAGUAUGAACUAGAAUGACAUGAAUAUAUUACAAGGUUGGAGGGAGGCACUUAGCCUUAGACUGGCUCGGGUUGCACGGAAUGACAGCCUCAGAGAUUUCUGACGAACAUAGAAAGAUCGAUUAAUGGAUGUGUUGUGGGACGGAUGAGAGCUCGGUCACUACUAAGAAAUCAUUAGAAUAUAGGCUGAGAGUGACAGCAAAAAUUGCAAUACUAAAGUGUUGAGUGAUACCCUCAAGACAGAAUGAUAUAGCUCGUGGGUCAUCCCCCGAGAAUAAUACAGUCGGUAGGAAGAAUGUGGAGAAAAACUUGAAUGUAAGCUCAACAUAUGUCGACUCCACGAUCGUGAAGAAUCGAUCCCAUGGGGUUGCGAUUAAAAGAGAAUGAAUCGGUGUGAAUAAGUCCACAAUAUGGAAGGCAUCCCAAUCUACACGUCUACCCACGCCCAAUGCUCUAUCCUUAAGAUUCUGGCACUCUCCACAUAGGGUGGAUGGUCGAAGGUGAGGUAUUGGUAACGAGUGGUUGUUAUCGGAGAGGAUGAAGAUGAGGUCCAUGUGGCUUUUCUUUUAUUAGAAUAAGUGGGGACCCCACUUUUUCCUCGUCGGUUUUGCAUUUUGUAUCUGAAAUAAAAUAUAAUAACCAAAUAUCAGAUAACCAAAAAUCAAAACCACAAAAAAUAAAUCUAGCAAAUAGACAAAUCAACAUACGAAAUAAAACAUAUCGGCAAGCGAACUACCUCACGAUAAAAGUCAAAUCACAACGAGUCUAACCGAAAUCUACUUCGAAUACAAAACUUGAGCUAAUACUAAUACUAUUGAGGCAAAAAAAAAUUAAACUAACCAACUAAAACUAAUAAUAAUAGAAUAAUAAAAUAAUAACAAUAAUACUAAUACUAAACAAAAUAAACAUAUUAAUAAUAGUAGGAGUAAUAAUAAUUAAAAUAAUAAGAAAAUAAAUAAAAACAAAAAUAAUAAAAAUUAAAUAAAAUGAAAUGAAAGAAUAGGGUUGAGCCAAACGGUGGUAACAGCAAUGGUUGGUGGCGAUGGUGAAUGGAGGCGCGGUGGUAGAAGCGAGUGAGGACGUGGGAGAGGGCUGAUGGUGGUAAUGCACAGGUGAAGAGGGUUAGAACAGAGGGAAAAAAACCAGACGGUAGAGGAAAUGGCAUGAUUGACGGUGGGGGAAGGAAAUGGAAAAAGAGAAGCGCGGGAAGGAAAGGAAACGACAUGAUCGACGGUAGAGGACGUGUGUCUAGCCAAUGUGGAAUGGCCCAGCUUGUGUGGCUCUGAAAGAUUCCUCCGAUUUUUUGAUUUUCGCUCCUUUUGCUUCCAAAUGCUCUCCUAAGUAUAAAAACAUGAAUAUAUAGGAUUAGGGGCAUAAAAUUCACCAUUUUAAAUCGAAUAAUGAUCCAAAACUGCAUUAAGAAUAAGGCUAAAACAUGUUACUUUUGGCAUUUAUCAAUAGGAAAUGGGUUGGUUUGAAAAUAAAUGGAUUGCUUGUCGUAGAAUAUUAUUCUCGGCAUAACUCAAAAUAUAAAAUUUUAAAAAUUAUAUUUAAUACAAUAAAACAUUUAUUAUAUUUAUGGUAGUAUUUUUUAAUGUGGUAUGAAACUCUUAGUUGAUGAAACGUGUUUAGUGGUAGAUUGAAUAGCCUAUUAGAUCAUUAAUUCUGAAGCCAUUAAUCAUAUUUGUGUUUAUUGCAGGGGUUCAAGUAAAUGAGAAGCCUUCGUGAGAAGGAUCUCUCGUUGCAAACUAGAGAUGGGCGAAAUGUAGAGGCAAAAGUAGUGGGAGAAGUACAUUUGUAUUUUGAUAAUUUUAGGAAGAUCAUUUUAAAAAACAUUUUUUAUCUACCUAGUUUUAGGAGAAAUUUAAUUUCUGUUGCAUGUUUAUUUCAAAACAAUUUUUUUUUUACUUUUAAUAAAGGGAUUGCAAUUCAUAAAAA